CUGCAGGUGUUGAGAGAAGAUCGCGGGC
RNAcentral lists this small RNA (28 nucleotides) under Bombyx mori (domestic silkworm). RNAcentral's name for it is "ovarian small RNA-14894". Lineage: Eukaryota; Metazoa; Arthropoda; Insecta; Lepidoptera; Bombycidae. The record is from RNAcentral.